Molecule: transfer RNA, 87 nt
Filed under: Desulforhabdus amnigena
Lineage: Bacteria; Pseudomonadati; Thermodesulfobacteriota; Syntrophobacteria; Syntrophobacterales; Syntrophobacteraceae
Also listed under: 1 other name
Description: tRNA-Leu
Rfam family: tRNA
About the family: Transfer RNA (tRNA) molecules are approximately 80 nucleotides in length. Their secondary structure includes four short double-helical elements and three loops (D, anti-codon, and T loops). Further hydrogen bonds mediate the characteristic L-shaped molecular structure. tRNAs have two regions of fundamental functional importance: the anti-codon, which is responsible for specific mRNA codon recognition, and the 3' end, to which the tRNAs corresponding amino acid is attached (by aminoacyl-tRNA synthetases). tRNAs cope with the degeneracy of the genetic code in two manners: having more than one tRNA (with a specific anti-codon) for a particular amino acid; and 'wobble' base-pairing, i.e. permitting non-standard base-pairing at the 3rd anti-codon position.
Source: RNAcentral
GCCUGGGUGGUGGAAUCGGUAGACACAAGGGACUUAAAAUCCCUCGGUCGCAAGGCUGUGCGGGUUCGAGUCCCGCCCCAGGCACCA